This 66-nucleotide transfer RNA is filed under the name Candidatus Mycobacterium methanotrophicum. RNAcentral describes it as "Mycobacterium sp. 'sulfur cave' tRNA-Leu". It matches the Rfam family "tRNA", at positions 9 to 63 of the family's 71-position model. From Rfam's summary of the family: Transfer RNA (tRNA) molecules are approximately 80 nucleotides in length. The record is from RNAcentral. Lineage: Bacteria; Bacillati; Actinomycetota; Actinomycetes; Mycobacteriales; Mycobacteriaceae.
GGCCGGGAAAUAGGAGCAGGCAGCGGACUUAAAAUCCGCCAAGUGUCGGUUCGAAUCCGACGGGCA